AGCUUUGCACAGUGGCAGUAUCAUAACCAAUGAAGUGAAUCUGAGGUGUGAUUAUUGCUACUUGAAAAUCCGCUCCUCUCUCCCUUCUCCUGGUGGUAGAUGGUACAGUACUACUGUAGACAGCAGAAACUG
Molecule: small nuclear RNA, 132 nt
Filed under: Chelonoidis abingdonii (Abingdon island giant tortoise)
Lineage: Eukaryota; Metazoa; Chordata; Testudines; Testudinidae
Description: U4 spliceosomal RNA (ENSCABG00000017805.1)
Rfam family: U4 spliceosomal RNA
About the family: U4 small nuclear RNA (U4 snRNA) is a component of the major U2-dependent spliceosome. The structure of U4 snRNA from yeast and human has been reported.
Source: Rfam by way of RNAcentral